CAGAGCCAGCCCUCAGAAGAAGGGAGGUGAGAACACAUCUAAGUAUCAGGGCUGGGCUCCACACCCAGCAGAGAACAGAAGUGGAUGCCUGGACCUGGGCAAGAAACAAGACAGCUGCAAGGGCCCGACUGACCCUCUGGAACACCCAGGGCUCUGGUCACACUGCACUGUCCCGGGGCAGCAGAAACUCUCCAGACCCAUCCAAUCAGCUGAAGGGAGUAAACUAAGAUUGGGGGUGCUGAAGGCAUGAAGAUGUCCCUCAUUUGAGAAAUGAUACCAGAGUCUCUAAGUGGCAAUGAUACCAGAGACUUUUGGCUCAUGAGAAGGUUGCCGUGUAGCCAGAACUAAGACGGUCCCAGCCAAGUGGAGACGGCAGGUUCAGAAGAAGCCAGUAAAGAUAUCUGGGAAGUGGAACAGACAUUUGAAGCAGGAGCAUGUUUUGAGAAGAUCAAACCCACUCAGCUGUGCUGAGGUGUCCCAAGGAAAGAUGACUUUCUCUGGGUCAGGACGGCAGAUGGGAGCUGCUGCAGUGCCCUGGGAACCAGGAAAUAGUGACCAGACCAGAGCAAUCAGGGAAUACGGGAGAAACAGAAGAAAAGUGAACGCUUUGGGGAAGCACUCAGGACCCUCCCAACUGUAGGGUGUUUUUCUUAAAAACUGUGCAUCUUUGUGUGGGUAUGAGUUUCAGGGAGGUGGUUUUUCCCUUUGUGGCUUCUUUUGAGAAUCUUCUGAAAUGGAUGAAUCUUUACCCCUCUCUCCCCAUCCCCCAAAUGUAGAGAUAAGCUCAAAACUUGGCACACAAUUUCAGGGACUUACAGAAUCUGUAUGAUCUCAGGGACCUCAGGUUAAGAACUCAUGCCUGGCACUUCCCAUACAUUUUUUUUCUUCUUUGAAUCCAUAACUUUAAACCCUGACACCACCAUUGUUUCUAAACAAAUAAGGAAUACCAGGUAGUUUUCCAUUUCCAGUGAGAACUAACUCACCUUUCAGACAAUGAAUGUUCAGAGCAGUGGUCCUCACAUCAGAUGUGCUGCUUAAGCUGUAAUUCCCAGGAGAGCUCACGAUAAACACCAGUGCGCAGGCCAGAGGCUGUGAUUCUAUUUGUUUGGGUGGAACACGAGCAUCUAUAUUUUUAAAGCCCCCAGGCAAUUCUAAAGUGCAUCCCAAGUUCAGAACCACUGCUCUAGGGUGAUUUUGCCUAAGCUGGGUCUGGGAUAAGCAGUAAUCACUACUCUGCCUUCCCCUGCCCCUCUCAGCAAGCCCUCUGUAUUGGAAGCAGAUGUGCACAACCCAGGGUAAAGUGAGAUGAAGAAAAUCUCUAUUUGUAUCCUUUUCCCUCAGGUACAAUCCUGUUUACGUCCUAAACACGAAACCUAAAAAAGUACUAAUAAAAAUAAAUUUUUAUUGAAGUGUAGUUGGUUUAUAAUAUUGUGUUAGUUUCAGGUAUACAGCAUAGUGAUUCAGUAUUUUUGCAGAUUAUAUUCCAUUAUAGGGUAUUACAAGAAAAUGGGUAUAAUCCCCUGUGCUAUACAGUGUAUCUCUGUUGCUUAUCUACUUUAUACGUAGUAGUUUGUAUCUCUUAAUUCCAUACUCCUAAAUUGUUGUUCCUCCCUUCUCCCUCCCCUUUGGUAACCACGUUUGUUUUCUAUGUCUGUGAGUCUGUUUCUGUUUCAUAUAGAUAUUCAGUGAUAUAAAAACCCAAGUUUAACAAACACCUGUCAAUAAGCCAUGGAUCUUCGACUCCACCCCCUCCACACCACGUACAAAAGUCUUUCACAGGCAGGGUGGGGACAUGCCUCUGACUUCUCUCAGAAUCACC
Molecule: long non-coding RNA, 1819 nt
Organism: Physeter macrocephalus (sperm whale)
Lineage: Eukaryota; Metazoa; Chordata; Mammalia; Artiodactyla; Physeteridae
Exons: 3
Source: RefSeq, a predicted model, not a curated record